This 91-nucleotide transfer RNA is filed under the name Plectosphaerella plurivora. Its description in RNAcentral is "tRNA-Phe". It matches the Rfam family "tRNA". Rfam says of the family: Transfer RNA (tRNA) molecules are approximately 80 nucleotides in length. Their secondary structure includes four short double-helical elements and three loops (D, anti-codon, and T loops). Further hydrogen bonds mediate the characteristic L-shaped molecular structure. tRNAs have two regions of fundamental functional importance: the anti-codon, which is responsible for specific mRNA codon recognition, and the 3' end, to which the tRNAs corresponding amino acid is attached (by aminoacyl-tRNA synthetases). tRNAs cope with the degeneracy of the genetic code in two manners: having more than one tRNA (with a specific anti-codon) for a particular amino acid; and 'wobble' base-pairing, i.e. permitting non-standard base-pairing at the 3rd anti-codon position. Lineage: Eukaryota; Fungi; Ascomycota; Sordariomycetes; Glomerellales; Plectosphaerellaceae. The record is from RNAcentral.
GUGCCUUUAGCUCAGUGGGAGUAGCGUUCGACUGAAGUAACACUUCAGUCAAACAAUCGAAAGGUCGCCUGUUCGAUCCAGGCAAGGCACA